GUGUGAUGACGAGGCACUACGGUGCUGAAGUGAUAAAUGCCCUGCUUCCAGGAAAAGCCUCUAAGCAUCAGGUAACACGAAAUCGUACCCCAAACCGACACAGGUGGUCAGGUAGAGAAUACCAAGGCGCUUGAGAGAACUCGGGUGAAGGAACUAGGCAAAAUGGUGCCGUAACUUCGGGAGAAGGCACGCUGAUAUGUAGGUGAAGCCCCUGCGGGCGGAGCUGAAAUCAGUCGAAGAUACCAGCUGGCUGCAACUGUUUAUUAAAAACACAGCACUGUGCAAACACGAAAGUGGACGUAUACGGUGUGACGCCUGCCCGGUGCCGGAAGGUUAAUUGAUGGGGUUAGCGGCAACGCGAAGCUCUUGAUCGAAGCCCCGGUAAACGGCGGCCGUAACUAUAACGGUCCUAAGGUAGCGAAAUUCCUUGUCGGGUAAGUUCCGACCUGCACGAAUGGCGUAAUGAUGGCCAGGCUGUCUCCACCCGAGACUCAGUGAAAUUGAACUCGCUGUGAAGAUGCAGUGUACCCGCGGCAAGACGGAAAGACCCCGUGAACCUUUACUAUAGCUUGACACUGAACACUGGUCCUUGAUGUGUAGGAUAGGUGGGAGGCUUUGAAGCGUGGACGCCAGUCUGCGUGGAGCCGCCCUUGAAAUACCACCCUUUAAUGGCUGGUGUUCUAACGUAGACCCGUGAUCCGGGUUGCGGACAGUGUCUGGUGGGUAGUUUGACUGGGGCGGUCUCCUCCCAAAGAGUAACGGAGGAGCACGAAGGUUGGCUAAUCCUGGUCGGACAUCAGGAGGUUAGUGCAAUGGCAUAAGCCAGCUUGACUGCGAGCGUGACGGCGCGAGCAGGUGCGAAAGCAGGUCAUAGUGAUCCGGUGGUUCUGAAUGGAAGGGCCAUCGCUCAACGGAUAAAAGGUACUCCGGGGAUAACAGGCUGAUACCGCCCAAGAGUUCAUAUCGACGGCGGUGUUUGGCACCUCGAUGUCGGCUCAUCACAUCCUGGGGCUGAAGUAGGUCCCAAGGGUAUGGCUGUUCGCCAUUUAAAGUGGUACGCGAGCUGGGUUUAGAACGUCGUGAGACAGUUCGGUCCCUAUCUGCCGUGGGCGCUGGAGAAUUGAGGGGGGCUGCUCCUAGUACGAGAGGACCGGAGUGGACGCAUCACUGGUGUUCGGGUUGUCAUGCCAAUGGCACUGCCCGGUAGCUAAAUGCGGAAGAGAUAAGUGCUGAAAGCAUCUAAGCACGAAACUUGCCCCGAGAUGAGUUCUCCCUGAGACUUUAAGUCUCCUGAAGGAACGUUGAAGACGACGACGUUGAUAGGUCGGGUGUGUAAGCGCAGCGAUGCGUUGAGCUAACCGAUACUAAUGAACCGUGAGGCUUAACCUU
This 1389-nucleotide ribosomal RNA is filed under the name Enterobacter sp. MGH 7. RNAcentral's name for it is "bacterial LSU rRNA". It matches the Rfam family "Bacterial large subunit ribosomal RNA", at positions 1561 to 2925 of the family's 2925-position model. The record is from RNAcentral. Lineage: Bacteria; Pseudomonadati; Pseudomonadota; Gammaproteobacteria; Enterobacterales; Enterobacteriaceae.